This 301-nucleotide ribosomal RNA is filed under the name uncultured bacterium. RNAcentral describes it as "partial 16S ribosomal RNA". It matches the Rfam family "Bacterial small subunit ribosomal RNA", at positions 509 to 807 of the family's 1533-position model. The record is from RNAcentral.
CAGCCGCCGCGGGAAAACGGAGGGUGCAAGCGUUAAUCGGAAUUACUGGGCGUAAAGCGCACGCAGGCGGUCUGACAAGUCAGAUGUGAAAUCCCCGGGCUUAACCUGGGAACUGCAUUUGUGACUGUAUAGCUAGAGUACGGCAGAGGGGGAUGGAAUUCCGCGUGUAGCAGUGAAAUGCGUAGAUAUGCGGAGGAACACCGAUGGCGAAGGCAAUCCCCUGGGCCUGUACUGACGCUCAUGCACGAAAGCGUGGGGAGCAAACAGGAUUAGAUACCCCCGUAGUCCCUGUCUCUUAUAC